Molecule: long non-coding RNA, 208 nt
Filed under: Mytilus galloprovincialis (Mediterranean mussel)
Lineage: Eukaryota; Metazoa; Mollusca; Bivalvia; Mytilida; Mytilidae
Source: RNAcentral
GGCAGCAUGUACAGGAACAGAUGGCAAUGUUAAUAAACAUAAAAAAAUUGUAGGUUAUUUACCCUGAUAAGAAGUUAUUUCCCUUGAAAAAUUAUACAUUUUUGGAAAAAUUAUAUUUCGAGAACCGGAAGUCGUAGGGACUUGGGACCUUCACCAUUAUUCUUUAAUUCAUGUGACCUUUAAUUUGCACCAAGGUCAAAGGUCACCG